RNAcentral lists this long non-coding RNA (207 nucleotides) under Carica papaya (papaya). RNAcentral's name for it is "long non-coding RNA (CPAP_LNC012503)". Lineage: Eukaryota; Viridiplantae; Streptophyta; Magnoliopsida; Brassicales; Caricaceae. The record is from RNAcentral.
AAAACGAUGGUAUCAUUUUUGUUACAACACAAAAACGAGGUCAUUUUAAUGCUCACUCAAACGGCACCGUUCUGGCAGUUUAUAAAAUAGCGUCAUUCUGGUAGCUUAUUAAAACGACAUCGUUUUAUUGGCUUAUUAAAACUAUGUUGUUUGGUUGCUUACCAAAUGAAAUAACAAUUGUUUAAGAAAUAUUUAAGGUCUCAAAAC